Molecule: ribosomal RNA, 501 nt
Filed under: uncultured bacterium
Lineage: Bacteria
Description: partial 16S ribosomal RNA
Rfam family: Bacterial small subunit ribosomal RNA
Source: RNAcentral
ACGCACGCUGGCGGCGUGCUUAACACCUGCAAGUCGAACGGUGAAGGGGUCUGCUUUUGUGGGCCCUGGAUGAGUGGCGAACGGGUGAGUAACACGUGAGUAACCUGCCCCCUUCUUCUGGAUAACCGCAUGAAAGUGUGGCUAAUACGGGAUAUUCUGGGUCUGUCGCAUGAUGGGUCUGGGAAAGAUUGCGCCUUUGGGUGUUUUUGGUGGGGGAUGGGCUCGCGGCCUAUCAGCUUGUUGGUGGGGUGAUGGCCUACCAAGGCGGUGACGGGUAGCCGGCCUGAGAGGGUGGACGGUCACACUGGGACUGAGACACGGCCCAGACUCCUACGGGAGGCAGCAGUGGGGAAUAUUGCACAAUGGGCGCAAGCCUGAUGCAGCGACGCCGCGUGAGGGAUGGAGGCCUUCGGGUUGUAAACCUCUUUCGCCAGUGAAGCAGGCCUGCUCCUUGUGGGUGGGUUGACGGUAGCUGGAUAAGAAGCGCCGGCUAACUACGUG